This 213-nucleotide long non-coding RNA is filed under the name Bos taurus (domestic cattle). RNAcentral describes it as "long non-coding RNA NONBTAT026188". The record is from RNAcentral. Lineage: Eukaryota; Metazoa; Chordata; Mammalia; Artiodactyla; Bovidae.
AAACUUGAACAUUGCUCACUAGUCUGGCUAGCUGGCAUUUGCCAUGCACUGGGCACAGCUAGCAGCUGCCUCAGGGAAGCAGAGCACCUGAAGACACCAAGUGGAAGAGAAGGACCCAGGGGCAUCCCAGUCCAGUUCUAUUUUUAAUUUAGUUCAAGAAAGCACAGUUCAUAGCACAAUGCCUGUCCUAGAAAAUACAUGUUAUUCUUCAUC